UCGGCUCCAUUGGUCUUUACUGGGGGGGGACAUGCAGGGCCAUGGGGUGGGGGGCUCCAGGGACAGCCCCGUCCCACCAUAGGGACAUCAGCCGAGCCAUGGACAGUGCUGGGGCCUGAUGGGCUGCAGAGGGAACGCGGGUUGUGACAAGGGGCAUGUCUCCGAGUCACCUCGGGUGAGGAGAGGAAGAGGCGAGAGAGGGAAGACGGGAAGGUGGCCAAGGAGAAGAGGAGAGGAGAGAAGGAGGAGAAGAGAGGAGAAGAGAAAGAGAAGACGGAGAAGAGAAAGAGAAGAAAGGAGAAGAGAGAAGAGAAGAAAGAAGAAGCAAGAAGAGAAGACGGAGAAGAGAGAAGAAAGAAGAGAGAAAGAGAAGACGGAGAAGAGAAUGAGAAGAAAGAAGGAGAAGAAGAGAGAAAGAGAAGACAAAGAGAAGGAGGAAAGGAGAAGAUGAUGACGAUGAUAAGACAGCCAAAAGGAGGAGAAGAUAACACCAAGAUGAGGAAGACAAGGAGAGGAGAAGGCUGAGGACAGGCAAGGAUGCAGAAGGAAGAACCGGUUGCUCUCCAGCCCUGUUCCCUUGUGCCCAGGCUGCAGCUCUCUGCUCUGGCCACCCCCAUGGCCACGCUGUGGCUCCCCCAUGGAGCAGCGCCCCAUGGGACCGGGGCACAUCCAGGGCUCACUGAGGCUGGGGGCUCCUCGCAGGACCCAUCCCCAACAGUCACCAAGCGCAGCAGGUCCCGGCUCUGUGGCCAUCACACCGGGUACCCGGUACCACGGCCGUCAUCCAUGGCUGUGGUCCCUCGGUGCCGGCGCCACCACCAUCACCCCACGGCAUCACCCCACGGCAUCCUUGGGGCUGUCUCAUGGCCAGGAGUCCUCCUCCAGCCCCUCGUGCUCCCGCGGGGCCCAGGCGGGCUCCAGGAAGGAGGAGAGGACGCUGUGCAGAGCCCCCCACGGCCUGUGCCCCCCGGGCUUGGGGGAGCGGGGGGGCGCUGCCCCACAGCCCCGCGGCGUGGGGAUCCUCGACGGCUUCCUAUGGGGCUGCGUGUCCAGCCGGGGCCGGGCGCAGGGCCGCGGCGGGGGGGGCUCCUCCAGCUCGUCCUCCCCCGGUACCCAGUCCGUGUCGGAGCCGGGGCCGUCCCCGCUCUCAUCGGAGGAGCUGGAGAGGGUGGGCUGGUGCCCCACAUGCGCCAUGCGGUGGGGUGCGGGCAGGGGGGGCCCCGUCCCGUCCGCGCUGCGCCGCCCGUCCUCCGCGGGAGCGCUGUGCUUGGCGAACAC
RNAcentral lists this long non-coding RNA (1278 nucleotides) under Strigops habroptila (Kakapo). RNAcentral describes it as "lncRNA (ENSSHBG00005017041.1)". The record is from RNAcentral. Lineage: Eukaryota; Metazoa; Chordata; Aves; Psittaciformes; Psittacidae.